GAUGAACGCUGGCGGCGUGCUUAACACAUGCAAGUCGAACGAUGAAGCCCAGCUUGCUGGGUGGAUUAGUGGCGAACGGGUGAGUAACACGUGAGUAACCUGCCCUUAACUCUGGGAUAAGCCUGGGAAACUGGGUCUAAUACCGGAUAGGAGCGUCCACCGCAUGGUGGGUGUUGGAAAGAUUUAUCGGUUUUGGAUGGACUCGCGGCCUAUCAGCUUGUUGGUGAGGUAAUGGCUCACCAAGGCGACGACGGGUAGCCGGCCUGAGAGGGUGACCGGCCACACUGGGACUGAGACACGGCCCAGACUCCUACGGGAGGCAGCAGUGGGGAAUAUUGCACAAUGGGCGCAAGCCUGAUGCAGCGACGCCGCGUGAGGGAUGACGGCCUUCGGGUUGUAAACCCCUUUCAGUAGAGAAGAAGCGAAAGUGACGGUACCUGCAGAAGAAGCACCGGCUAACUACGUG
This 466-nucleotide ribosomal RNA is filed under the name uncultured bacterium. Its description in RNAcentral is "partial 16S ribosomal RNA". It matches the Rfam family "Bacterial small subunit ribosomal RNA", at positions 28 to 507 of the family's 1533-position model. The record is from RNAcentral.